Long non-coding RNA from Triticum dicoccoides, 1061 nucleotides. RefSeq lists it as uncharacterized. NCBI's taxonomy places the organism in Eukaryota, Viridiplantae, Streptophyta, Magnoliopsida, Poales, Poaceae. The record is from RefSeq and is a predicted model, not a curated record. The transcript is spliced from 4 exons.
CAAGCCCUUGAUCAUGUGGACCCUUACUUAAAAAGGCAUGGAUGUGAUCUAAUAUAAGAUUAUUCCUUGAUUUUCUAAGGUUCCUCACGAUGUGCACACAUGAAGGUUGUUGGACCGUUCAGAUGCUCCUUCAGCGCGCCGUCAUCCUCUUGUCCCCUAGCCAACGUCGAUGACACUUUGGCAUUGAGGAGAAAGUAUUGCAUCACACAUGUGGAUGUUGCUUGAUUCCCUGGAUUCUGGAUCUCCUUGGGAAAAAGAAUACAUGUGUUUCAUCACUCUCCAUUAAUUAUAUGGGGUUUUCACAUUUACAAGUGUUGCAUUUAACGGGAUUUGAGAGGAAAGAGCAGUACUGUUUGUUUAUUUCAAUGUUGAACGUGGUUCCGACUAAAAACGCAAGCUGACAGAGGAGUUUCAGUUUCUUGUGAGGCAGCAUGCUACUGAAUGGAAAAGCCAAGUUAAUACACAGGAACCUGCCGCCCCAAGCACUAGCCAGAAAUGGAGCCCCCCUCCAGAGGAUUGACUGAUGAUUAGUUGUGAUGGAGCUUACUCAAAAAGCACUUCUGAAGGAGGGUAGGGUGUAGCAGCUUGUGAUCAUGAAGGUGACUUUGCCGCUUCUGGACAGCAGAGUCAAGCUAUGCAUGCCGAAGCAUUCACGGUCAAAAAGGCGCUGUUUUUAGCCGAGCAGAGGGGGAUUGGAAGGAUCGUUUUGGAAACUGAUUGCAGGAACCUGAUUGCGGCUGUGAAAUUCAAUGCCUGCAACAGUUCAAGCCUUGGUACCCAUUUGCUAGCAGCAAACGAUGCAGGGGAAAGCCACGGUUUCCAUGCUACUUGGGAAUUGGGACGUGAGCUACCAUGAUGAUGUAAACCAUUUGGUGGCCUGUUAUUUAACUGGGCCUUAAUGGAAUACGAGUGUUCCAUUCAAAAAAAAGGAUGUGGUUCGACGCCAAAUUGCAUUUUAGUAUUUCACGGUGGAGCACUUUGAAGGUGGGUGUAUUAAAGAGGAGACCCGGCAGGCUGAGGCCCUCUUGGCUACAUUUGAACAACGCAAAGAUGAGGAUGAU